Cornus florida is the source of this 5823-nucleotide long non-coding RNA. RefSeq lists it as uncharacterized. The transcript is spliced from 2 exons. NCBI's taxonomy places the organism in Eukaryota, Viridiplantae, Streptophyta, Magnoliopsida, Cornales, Cornaceae. The record is from RefSeq and is a predicted model, not a curated record.
AACAACAAAGGACAGUGGUGAGCCCAGUUGGAUGCAUGAUCAGACGAAGAAGAUGGAACGUAGGUGUGAAGGGCAUUUUCGAAAAGGUGCGGUUGCGGUGCUUUCGCCAAGGUCUACCACGUUAGGAACAUCACCGGCCGCCACAACAUCGCCGUCAUAAUCAUCAACAAGAAGAAGAUCAUCGGAACUAGUUUGAUGUCCAACGUCAAACGCGAGAUCUCUCGUCUUUGGCCCCAACAUCAAGAUCAACUGGAAAGAGGAGAGAUUGGUGAUUUCAAGAUGUUGUCGAGCGUGACAGUGAACAACAUUGUGCUGGAUGAGCUUGGGGAGAAGUUCGAGAAACCGAAGACUAAGGAUUUCAUGGUGAGAUCUCUUUUUAUCUUUUUCAAUUUUCGCAGCCCCACAUCUCUUUUGAUUUAUAAGAUAUAUUUUUAAUCAAAUUUAUUGUUUGGGUUAAAUUUCUAGGAUUUGUUUUGUUUGAAAUCUAAUGGACAAUUUCCAGUGGUUGGGCGAGGUGGAGAAAUAGAGGUUGCGAUGGCGGUAGCGACGGUGGUAUGGAGAAAGUGAGGUGGAGAUGAGAGAUUUUCGAGGGGGAUAUUUUAUGUUAUACCCCCAUUUUUGGCAGUGAGAGACGCUAGAGCUCAUUUGUCUCCGUUGUAUUGAAGGUUUUGGGUCCUUAAAAUGAUCAUCCAUAUAUGAUCAACAGUGUUAAUUCCGUGGAUGCUGAAUGUGGUGUUGAUAGAGAAUAAUAUAGAUGCAAGACCAAUUUCUUCUCAAGUUUUGGCAUGCUUGCUGCCAUUACCUUGGGUUGUGUUUUUUGAAGAUUUGGCAAAUCCCACAAGCCAUCAAAUUUUGUUCCAUCAAUUAUGAGUCUGGCUCUCACAUGAUGCAAUGACAUUGAUGAUGCAUGGGUGGUGCCCAUGUUAGAGGGUGGUGGUGGUUGUGGCUGGUGGCAGGAGAAUUGGGUGGGUUUUGGCAGGUUUUGAAUGGGGGUUGGGUAUGAAUGGGUCAGUAACCCAUUUCCAACCUGCCAAUGGGGGUAAUUAAAUGGGUAAGUGUUGCCUUUGUCGUUGUUGUUUACUGAAAUGCACCCCCUUUGAUAAGAACAAUACAUAACCUAUUUUCAUGUGUUCAGACUCACUGGGAGUUCGGCAUUGAUUUGCUUGUUUUCUUACACGGCAGGAAAAGCUAACCACUAUGUGGGAAAGGUAAUCAAUAUGUCGAACUUGUACUUUUCUAGAACUUGGAGGAUCAAUGAAAACGAGCAAGUUGGUUUAACCGUGUUUUAGAUUGACCACUUCAAGAUUUGGCCCUGAUAUUUCAGUUCAAUUUGUGUUAAAGUUACCUGAUUUGACUCAGAAGCAUACUGUUGUUCAAAGGAGACCUGUUUUUCCUGUUUUUCUCUCAGUUAUAGAGGGACAACGAUCUACAGAAUCAUAGACACCAGGAUAUUUGAAUCCUAUUGUGGACCGCUAAGAAUUGGCCCACCUUAUGUUGUAAGAAAAUCUGAUUUCUUUGUUAUUGAAAGUAAAAUUGUAAUUCCAGUUUUGACAGUGCCUCAAAUGAUAAAAUUAGAAGCAUGAGUUUAUUUUGUGUUCAAGACUUGAUUUUCCACCCAUAAUUCUUUGAAUCAAUUGGACCUCUUAGUUCGACUCAAAUUCUCUAUUCAUUUGCGUCUGUAGAUGUGUUGACGUCUUCGUUUAAAUUUUUAUUUUUAGCCAAGUUUGACGUAUAUUGGCACAACUGGGCUAUGAGAAGCUGGAUAAUUUAAUAGGAUGUACAAGGAUCUAUCAAGACCUCAAGAUAUCUCCCUGAUGACAACUCUACAUUUUGAUCAUAGUUAUAUUAUUCCGAUUGUUGGAUUACCAAAAUUGAAGCAGCAAGACUAUUAAGGAAUCAGGAUUUUCAUAUUAAUGGUCCUGCUUAAGAUGAUUACUCAGAUCCAGAGGUAACAAUUAUUGAUUACCAAUGGUAAGUUGGUAACAUUUACAGUUAAUUGAACUUACAGUGAAUUGAUCAAGGUACUUAUUGGUAUGUCUUCUGAUUUGCUUAUAUUUUUCUUCUCUGUAUAAAUCAUCAAGAGGAAAAUAAUCUUUGUCUCAUUAUUGUUCAUUAAUGGAGAAAACUAAGAAAACCUUGAAAGGGUGAUUUUCAUUCCUUUUGUUUCUUCUUUUAUUUAACAACUAUCUUGAAAGAGGCCACAGAUUUUGUUAUAGUAAAUGAGAAUAAGAUAGUGCUAUUAGUUCUUUUCCUACCAAGCUAUUUCAUGCAUAGUGUAGUGAUUGCAACUAGGCUCCUAAGUUUCAAAACAUGGUUUGAACUUCCUCACUUUUGAAAUUCAACUAUAUUUUAGAAGAUCGGAUAUACAAUUUUUUCUUAAAUACCACGAAAGAUCAUUGAAGUCUAAGACAAUGCUUGAUGUUUAGAUAAAUAUAUCUUUUGGUUCGUAAAAAAAAAAAAAAAUUGACUUCAUCGAAAUAUCCAACAUUAUCUUAACGAAUCAUUAUUCUUGUGUUGCACUCCAAUUUUUUAUGUGGUCCAGCCGAACUCUCUACCUACGUCGUCUACAGAGAGAAGAGAUUCCACUAUUCAUUAAUGAAGAGAAGAGAUAUUACAAUUGUAGAGAAUACAGUUUUUCUACCUCAUAAGAAAUCACUCAUCUAACUCCAAGGCUCUUUUUGGGUUCAUAACAAACCCACUCUUUCAGGACCAAGAGCAAACCCACUUUCUAUAAGGCUACAUCUCUCUACUUUUACACCCACACUUUUCCCUUCUCACUCACUCAUUCCAUUCUUUUAUUCUUCUCUACCUUCUCCAAACAACUCCCUCUGAAGCAUCUGUGCAUAGAGCGCUCGUAUGUAAUACAUAUAUAGUUGACUAAAUUUGGGAAUAAUGAUAUAAAAAAUCACCACUAUAUGUUAAGUGCAUACCCUUAAUUAUGCUGUUACAUCAUUUGCAAAGGACUUGUGCACUAGAAUGAUUUGUUUCUUCUAAGCAGUGGUUAAGUGGUGAAAAAAACUAACACAGACAUGGUACCUUUAACCAUAUAAUUAAAAAAGGAAUUGAUGUCUAGUUCUAUUACCAUUGUACCAUGAUUGUCAAAACUUACAUGUGUGUGUGUGUGUGUGCAUUAUACUUAUAAUUCAAUUUAAGUUAUUGUUGGCACUAUAAAUUUUGAAAAAUACUGACUUAAAUAAAAAUACUAAUAAUUCAAUUUAAGUUAUGGUUGUAGGUGUAUUGAGUGCAAAUCAUGUUGAGAAUACUGGGUUAGGAUGCCACUGCUUACAUGGGUUGGGUGUGUGCAGGUCGAAUACGGGUCACCCAAGUUUAAUAAGAUGAUCGUUCAUCCAUGGUGGCUAGCUAUUCUGGGACAAUUACUUGAACCCUUGUUUCAACGGCAUUUUGUUUUUAUAAUUGGUAGGUAGGUGGUUUUGAAUAUUCAUGGUAGGUGGGUGGUGUUUUUAUAAUUGUAGGUAGGUGGACAAACACAAAUACACCCCCCUUACAUCUACUAUGUUGAGUAUUUCUGUUAUACUCGAAUAGGACAAUGGAGAUGUGAAUUGAAAAUUUUCAUAUAGAAAGAAACAUGAGAUAGCGGAGAAGAUAAAUUAACCACAAAAAGUAGGAAAAAUUUGGAUCUACAUAAAACUGCUUACUUACACCUACCAAUUGUAAAUACUUUAAUUUUUAUUUUUUAUUUAAAAAAAAAUGAGAAUUAAGAUAAUAUAUCUAGAAUCUCCAAAUAAUAAUAUCAGGCCUUCGAUUUGGUUGAAGGAUACACAUUGUGAUAACCAGAAAAUAUGUAAAUUUUAGAAUCUUUUAGCUUUCUUUUCUCAACACGAAGCAAACUAAGCAUGAAGCAGACACAUUUUGAUAACCAGAAAAAGGGCCAUAUAUCAUAUACUGAUACAAGAAUGCAAGGAAGUUAAGGGCUUGUUUGGUUUGUAAUUAUGAAAAUAAUUUUUUGUUCUCAGAAAACUGUAAAAAAAUCUCUGCUUGGUUCAGUUUUCAGAAAACUGUUUUAUGAAAACUCAAUUAUAAAAAUGUCUGCUUUCAGAGAACUAUAACUCUGCUUGGAUUGGUACUGUUCUGGGAGUUCCCAAAAUUCAGAAAACCAAUUUUUGUUCUACUUGGAUCUGUUUUCAUAGAACGGUUUUUAAAAAACUGAGAACUCAUAGUAUCAGUUUUUGGAGAACAACUUUUAGGUGUUCUGAGAGUUUUGGAAACUCAGUUCUCAUUUUUUAGAAAACACGGAGAACGCCCUCGACUUAAAAAAUGAUGGUACUUUCGCGUUCGUUUAAAACACUCAUCCUUCAUCAACCCUCUCUCUCCUCUCUGAUAGACCUGACGACUCGCUCUUUCUCAACUGACUCACAGACUCAUCAUCAUUCUUUAGCAUCUACUCUCUCGCCUCAUCAGUAGAUCAAGAAUCCCUUCAGGUAAUCUUCAAUCGCUGUUUCUCGAACAAAGCCCUAAAAAAUACACCAUCUUUAAGAUUCACUCUACUCUUGUUAUCGAUCUGGUAAAAUAACUUUGAUUUGCUUUUUUUUUUUUUUUGUCUCUAGUUUUAUUGUCGAUUUUGUUGGCUGAAUUUGCUUUGGUUGUGGCUGGAUUUUGGUUUUCUUGUUUUCCAUUUUGUUGUUGAUGGGGUUUCUCUUUUUAUUUUCAUAUAUAUAUAUAUAUAUAUAUAUAUUGUAUGUGCUUGGCCUUUGUCUUUUAAAAUAGAUGCAGUCCAUUCAAAAAACGAAUUAGGGAUCUGUCUUUAAUUUUUUUUUUUUUUUUUUGUUCCCUGUUUGGAAAACCCAUAAACAGAUAACUAUGAAUUUUUUUUUUUCUUGUGAACAGAGAACUUGUGAAUAUAUAUAUAUAUAUAUACACACAUGUACAUGUGUUAAAUGUGUGUGUGAUAUUUGCUUGCAAGAGGUUCAUGCUACAUUGGGUCAUAUACACCAUCCCCUUCACAAUCUAUCUGCGGAUUUGGACUGUAAGACCAUUGAUGAGGAAAAAAAAGGUAAGACCAUUGAUGAGUGGAUUGCAUAUUUAAUUGUCUCCUGAGGAUCCUAGUAUUCGCGAAGUUGAGUCUGAAGAUUGAAUUGUGAGGAGGGCAGUGAGAGAAUCAAACUGUGGAGAGUUGAUUCUGUUCUUGUAUAAUAGCUAAUUUAGAUUGAAUAUUAAAUAGAUUUACUUUAAUUUAGACUGUAUAUUAAAUAGCUAAUUGUAGCAUUCUUUUUUUCUUGACAUUCUUACCAAUAAUUGUAAUAGGGUUUGAAUUAAAUAAAUUUAUCUAGAUAAUUCUAGAUGCCUCUCUUUAUUUUUCCUAUGUGAUCUUAAUUCUCUACUUCUACAUAAACUCUUCUAAGUCUUGUACAAAGUAUAUAAAGUAUUUAUACAUUAUUGUCUUUGAUUUAUUUUGUCUAAUGAAAUCAACUAAAUUUUUUAUUAUUAUUAUUAUAAUUGUAGGUAACCCUUGUUGCACGAUUCAUAAUUUUAUUGGUCAAAAUGCACUAGUUGGUUACAUUUUUUAUGGAGUAUGAAGAAGGAGAUGAUGUUGUUGGUGAGGGGAAUGACAGCACAAGUCAAGGACCGAAUGCGGUCAACUUCUAUGAAGCAAAGUCUCAUGGGAUAGAAUCACAUACCUUUACAAGUGAUGUUCAUCCAAAUUUGAUCUAGAUGUUCAUCCAAGUAGAAUCACAUAUUUCAUUUUUUUCCAUGUCUUUUAAGUUUAGAUGAGAAGUGAGAUGGUUUAUGUAUGUAGACAUUGAAUUGAUGUAAUGUUAUGAAUGAAUGAAACCCAGAAUACAAGAGCAGUUCUUUGCUACACAA